UAUACUUAGUGGCGGACGGGUGAGUAACGCGUGGGCAACCUGCCCCGUGCCGGGGGAUACCGCCUGGAAACAGGCGCUAAUACCGCAUAAGCGCAUACAGCCGCAUGGCAGUAUGCGGAAAGCUCCGGCGGCACGGGAUGGGCCCGCGCCCGAUUAGCCAGUUGGCGGGGUAACGGCCCACCAAAGCGACGAUCGGUAGCCGGCCUGAGAGGGCGGACGGCCACAUUGGGACUGAGACACGGCCCAAACCCCUACGGAAGGCAGCAG
Molecule: ribosomal RNA, 267 nt
Filed under: uncultured bacterium
Lineage: Bacteria
Description: partial 16S ribosomal RNA
Rfam family: Bacterial small subunit ribosomal RNA
Source: RNAcentral